UGCAUCACGUGUGACCUGCCC
This 21-nucleotide microRNA is filed under the name Ornithorhynchus anatinus (platypus). RNAcentral describes it as "oan-miR-1421k-3p". Lineage: Eukaryota; Metazoa; Chordata; Mammalia; Monotremata; Ornithorhynchidae. The record is from miRBase by way of RNAcentral.